RNAcentral lists this unclassified non-coding RNA (1573 nucleotides) under Hevea brasiliensis (rubber tree). The record is from RNAcentral. Lineage: Eukaryota; Viridiplantae; Streptophyta; Magnoliopsida; Malpighiales; Euphorbiaceae.
GUCAAGUUAGUGUCAACUUUUUUGCAGGCUGGUUCAGUUCAUUGCACUGAUAAUAAACAACACUCGAGCCUCAAAAUUUUAUUUCUUCUGGAUUCACCAUUCAAUUUUUAGAACUGGGUGGAUUGGGUUAAAGGCGAAAGGUUGAACCUCUGAAAUUGGCUAGAGAUUUGACGCCAAAGUCUAACUGAAUCCCUCUGAAAAGGGAGAUUUUUGCAAGUAUGGAUCUCCGAGAAGAUAGCUCUCGAUUUGGUGGGUUACCAGUAACAACUUCAAGGAAUAUGUCAUCAUCGUCCUCAGCAUUCUUUUCAGCAAAUCAGUCUCCUUUCUUCUCUCCAAGAUCACCAAACUGUCAAAUAUCUGAAUCAACAAGGUUGGAAGCUCUAUGUGACAGUACUCAUUUAAGUGGCAAUUCCCUUAACUCCAGGUCAGGAAAUCUAGUACCAGCAUCUCUAGCAAAUGUCCAAGAUGUCUUAUCAGACAUUUCAAGGGAUCCAGUUGCUGAUAUUGGAACUGAUUUCCAGAAUUUUGAUCGAAUAUUUUCCUCAACUGGCAUUUCUAACAGCUCACCUUAUGGUUACAGCUACGCCCAUGACAAUGGUUAUUCUGGGUUCAGGGAGAAGCGCAGAAAGCAUGUGCGAAGCCAUGAAACGUCAUGUACUCCAGUGUCAGUAUCACUUUCCUCAAACAGACUGAGCUGUGACAUCUUCAUAGGUAUGCAUGGUCGCAAACCUUCAAUGCUGAGGUUUGCUAAUUGGCUCCGUGCUGAAUUGGAGGUUCAGGGGAUGAGUUGUUUUGUAUCUGACAGAGCUCGAUGUAGGAACUCGUGGAAACAUGAAAUUGUCCAGAGGGCAAUGGAUGCUUCUUCUUUUGGCAUUGUAGUACUGACAAAGAAGUCCUUUAGGAACCCAUAUACCAUUGAGGAACUGAGGUUUUUGGCAAGCAAGAAGAAUUUGGUGCCUAUAUUCUUUGAUUUGACUCUUGAUGAUUGCCUGGUCAGGGACAUAGUUGAAAAGAGGGGAGAGUUGUGGGAAAAACAUGGAGGUGAGUUAUGGCUUUUGUAUGGUGGAUCGGAGAAGGAGUGGAAGGAAGCUGUUAAUGGUCUUUCUCAGGUUGAUGAGUGGAAACUGGAAGCUCAGGAGGGUAACUGGAGAGAUUGCAUACUAAGGGCUGUCACGCUUCUGGCAAUGAAAUUGGGGAGGAGAAGUGUUGUAGAACGGCUGACUAAGUGGAGAGAGAAGGUGGAUAAAGAAGAAUUCCCUUUCCCUCGAAAUGAGAACUUCAUUGGAAGGAAGAAAGAAUUGUCUGAACUGGAGUUUAUACUUUUUGGUGAUGUUAGUGGAGAAUCAGAAAGAGAUUAUUUUGAACUAAAGGCAAGACCCAGGAGAAAGAAUUUAACAGUUGGAUGGAGUAAGAGCAGUUUAAUGGAGGAAAAACGAAAGGAGCAACACUUGGGGAAUGGAGCCAAGAAAGGUAAAGAACCAGUUGUAUGGAAGGAAUCUGAAAAGGAGAUUGAGAUGCAAAGCACAGAAAUUUCUCAAAGGCAGCGCCCAGUGAGGCCAAAAAGUGGUGGACG